Molecule: ribosomal RNA, 477 nt
Filed under: uncultured anaerobic ammonium-oxidizing bacterium
Lineage: Bacteria
Description: bacterial SSU rRNA
Rfam family: Bacterial small subunit ribosomal RNA
Source: RNAcentral
UUCGCAAUGCCCGAAAGGGUGACGAAGCGACGCCGCGUGGGUGAGGAAGGCCUUCGGGUUGUAAAGCCCUGUCAGGAGUUAAGAAAUGUAAGUGCGCUAAUAUCGCAUUUACUUGACGAAGGCUCCAAAGGAAGCCACGGCUAACUCUGUGCCAGCAGCCGCGGUAAUACGGAGGUGGCAAGCGUUGUUCGGAAUUAUUGGGCGUAAAGAGCACGUAGGUGGGUUUGUAAGUCAGAUGUGAAAGCCUCCUGUUCAACGGGAGAAUUGCAUCUGAAACUACUGAUCUUGAGUAUAGGAGGGGAGAAUGGAACUUCUGGUGGAGCGGUGAAAUGCGUAGAUAUCAGAAGGAACGCCGGCGGCGAAAGCGAUUCUCUGGCCUAUUACUGACACUCAGUGUGCGAAAGCUAGGGGAGCAAACGGGAUUAGAUACCCCGGUAGUCCUAGCCGUAAACGAUGGGCACUAAGUAGAGGGGUUUU